UAAUGCCUACGGGACGCAGCAGUGAGGUAUAUUGGUCAAUGGGCGGGAGCCUGAACCAGCCAAGUCGCGUGAAGGAAGAAGGUACUUAGUAUUGUAAACUUCUUUUGUCGGGGAACAAAGGCGGAGACGCGUCUCCGGAUGAGUGUACCCGAAGAAAAAGCAUCGGCUAACUCCGUGCCAGCAGCCGCGGUAAUACGGAGGAUGCGAUCGUUAUCCGGAUUUAUUGGGUUUAAGGGGUGCGCAGGCGGGGAAUCAA
This 256-nucleotide ribosomal RNA is filed under the name uncultured bacterium. RNAcentral's name for it is "partial 16S ribosomal RNA". It matches the Rfam family "Bacterial small subunit ribosomal RNA", at positions 333 to 586 of the family's 1533-position model. The record is from RNAcentral.